RNAcentral lists this long non-coding RNA (282 nucleotides) under Rattus norvegicus (Norway rat). RNAcentral's name for it is "long non-coding RNA NONRATT017347". The record is from RNAcentral. Lineage: Eukaryota; Metazoa; Chordata; Mammalia; Rodentia; Muridae.
CUCACACAGAGCAUGGAAGUAGGAGGAGCGGCUGCUGGUGUCUGGUCUUCUGGGGCUGUAGUGGAUCCUGCUUUCUAACGUGGAGUCUGUGCCAGUUCUGGGUAAUCGGUUUCAGAAACACACAGCAGACUUGACUCAUGCUUCCUGUCUCCUCCAUUCACAAUACCGCUUAUCUCUCAAUGGCUUCACAGAGGCAAACAUGGUACUCGUGUCUCCCCACUCCUGACCAUCCUGCCACAUCCUGUUCUUGAGGAAAUGAUUAAAUUGGUUGAGUAGCUGAAA